UAUUUAAUUUAAGGUCUGACCUGCCCUAUGAAUAUUAAAUGGCCGCGGUAUAUUGACCGUGCGAAGGUAGCAUAAUCAUUAGUUUUUUAAUUAAAAGCUUGUAUGAAUGGUUUGACGAGAUAGAAACUGUUUCUAAAUAAAAAUUAUAAUUUUAUUUUUGAGUAAAAAAGCUUAAAUUUUUUUAAAAGACGAGAAGACCCUAUAAAUCUUAAUAUUUUUUUUAUUUUUAAUAAUUUUAGUUUUUAUUGAAUUGUUUUAAUUAAAAUUUAUUUAAUUGGGGAAAUUUAAUGAUUAAUUUAAUUCAUUAUUUUUUUUAUUCAUUUAUUUAUGUUUAAUUGAUCCUUUAUUAUAGAUUAUAAGAUUAAGUUACUUUAGGGAUAACAGCGUAAUUUUUUUGGAGAGUUCAUAUCUAUAAAAAAGAUUGCGACCUCGAUGUUGGAUUAAAA
Molecule: ribosomal RNA, 446 nt
Filed under: Hydrocanthus socius
Lineage: Eukaryota; Metazoa; Arthropoda; Insecta; Coleoptera; Noteridae
Description: partial 16S ribosomal RNA
Source: RNAcentral